Molecule: small nucleolar RNA, 156 nt
Filed under: Ursus americanus (American black bear)
Lineage: Eukaryota; Metazoa; Chordata; Mammalia; Carnivora; Ursidae
Also listed under: 2 other names
Description: Small nucleolar RNA U3
Rfam family: Small nucleolar RNA U3
About the family: Small nucleolar RNAs (snoRNAs) are involved in the processing and modification of rRNA in the nucleolus. There are two main classes of snoRNAs: the box C/D class, and the box H/ACA class.
Source: Rfam by way of RNAcentral
GAGACUAUACUUUCAGGGAUCAUUUCUAUAGUUUGUUACUAUAAAUAUAGGAGAGGAACAGGCUUGGUCUGAUGAACACCAAGAGCGAAGACUGAGAGGGUCUAGACUCUGAAACAGGACCUUGCCCUGGAGUGGGGUUGGUGGUAGGGUCAGAGC